RNAcentral lists this transfer RNA (89 nucleotides) under Succinivibrionaceae bacterium. RNAcentral's name for it is "tRNA-Ser". It matches the Rfam family "tRNA". From Rfam's summary of the family: Transfer RNA (tRNA) molecules are approximately 80 nucleotides in length. Their secondary structure includes four short double-helical elements and three loops (D, anti-codon, and T loops). RNAcentral also lists the same sequence under 1 other name. The record is from RNAcentral. Lineage: Bacteria; Pseudomonadati; Pseudomonadota; Gammaproteobacteria; Aeromonadales; Succinivibrionaceae.
GGAGACGUAUCGAAGUGGUCGUAACGAGAAUGACUCGAAAUCAUUUUGACCGCAAGGUCACGUGGGUUCGAAUCCCACCGUCUCCGCCA